Molecule: ribosomal RNA, 593 nt
Filed under: Bacillus velezensis
Lineage: Bacteria; Bacillati; Bacillota; Bacilli; Caryophanales; Bacillaceae
Description: bacterial SSU rRNA
Rfam family: Bacterial small subunit ribosomal RNA
Source: RNAcentral
CAACCGGGGAGGGUCAUUGGAAACUGGGGAACUUGAGUGCAGAAAGAGGAGAGUGGAAUUCCACGUGUAGCGGUGAAAUGCGUAGAGAUGUGGAGGGAACACCAGUGGGCGAAGGCGACUCUCUGGGUCUGUAAACUGACGUUGAGGAGCGAAAGCGUGGGGAGCGAACAGGAUUAGAUACCCUGGUAGUCCACGCCGUAAACGAUGAGUGCUAAGUGUUAGGGGGUUUCCGCCCCUUAGUGCUGCAGCUAACGCAUUAAGCACUCCGCCUGGGGAGUACGGUCGCAAGACUGAAACUCAAAGGAAUUGACGGGGGCCCGCACAAGCGGUGGAGCAUGUGGUUUAAUUCGAAGCAACGCGAAGAACCUUACCAGGUCUUGACAUCCUCUGACAAUCCUAGAGAUAGGACGUCCCCUUCGGGGGCAGAGUGACAGGUGGUGCAUGGUUGUCGUCAGCUCGUGUCGUGAGAUGUUGGGUUAAGUCCCGCAACGAGCGCAACCCUUGAUCUUAGUUGCCAGCAUUCAGUUGGGCACUCUAAGGUGACUGCCGGUGACAAACCGGAGGAAGGUGGGGAUGACGUCAAAUCAUCAUGC